Molecule: transfer RNA, 82 nt
Filed under: Danio rerio (zebrafish)
Lineage: Eukaryota; Metazoa; Chordata; Actinopteri; Cypriniformes; Danionidae
Description: tRNA-Ser (GGA) (tRNA-Ser-GGA-1-1)
Rfam family: tRNA
About the family: Transfer RNA (tRNA) molecules are approximately 80 nucleotides in length. Their secondary structure includes four short double-helical elements and three loops (D, anti-codon, and T loops).
Source: Rfam by way of RNAcentral
GUAGUCGUGGCCGAGUGGUUAAGGCGAUGGACAGGAAAUCCAUUGUGGUUUUCCCGCGCAGGUUCGAAUCCUGCCGACUACG